RNAcentral lists this long non-coding RNA (568 nucleotides) under Sus scrofa (pig). RNAcentral's name for it is "lncRNA (ENSSSCG00070012007.1)". The record is from RNAcentral. Lineage: Eukaryota; Metazoa; Chordata; Mammalia; Artiodactyla; Suidae.
UGUAUUUCAUAAACGUUUUGUGUUUUGUUUGUUUCAGGGGAUUCGUUCUCUACGGUGGAAUAUUCACAGACACUCAGGAUCCUAAGUGAAUAUUACCAAAGAGUAGAGAGAAGCCCAGGGGGCUUGUGAGAGGGAGACUCCUUGGACUGGAGGGAAGGAGAGGCAAAGGGUCUUCAAAGUGUUGCAGGGUCUGUAGAUUCAGUCUGUAGAUUCCUCGAGGAGAAGGAGGAAGAAAAUUCUGACUUGUGAGGUGAUGUUCAAGCCUGAAGUCCAGUAAACACCUUGAUAGAGGAAACGGCCGGGAGCGAAGCAGCUUUCUGACAGGCAUUACGGUCCCAGCGUGGAAAGUGUCCGGGUACCUGACACGCAGACAGGCCCUCUUCUGCUGGGCCAUCCAGAUCCUUAGUGACCCUCCAUGUGGCAAAUGGGACAGGAGAUUUCUUUCCCUGGGAAGAGUCCGUGGAUUCUCCUGGCUGGGGUUUUAGGAAAGGAAGUCGCAUGCCUGUGCCCACCAUCGCCUGACAAGUAAGCCUUUUCAUCUGGGCAGCUCCGUGCUCUCACUCACCCC